This 231-nucleotide unclassified non-coding RNA is filed under the name Hevea brasiliensis (rubber tree). The record is from RNAcentral. Lineage: Eukaryota; Viridiplantae; Streptophyta; Magnoliopsida; Malpighiales; Euphorbiaceae.
ACUUAGUGUGCUGCUGCUUCUGCUUCAGGACGCAAGACAAACCCCUCCACAUCUGUCCGGCUGUACUAAGCUUCUGCUCUUUUAUCUAGAGAGCCCUAGAAAAAAUGGCAACAUUCGAGCAAGCUCCACCUGGUGAUCUAAAGGCAGGAGAGAAGAUCUUCAAAACUAAGUGUGCCCAAUGCCACACCGUCGAAAAAGGUGCUGGCCACAAACAAGGACCCAAUUUGCAUG